Chroococcidiopsis thermalis PCC 7203 is the source of this 214-nucleotide non-coding RNA. It matches the Rfam family "HNH endonuclease-associated RNA and ORF (HEARO) RNA". The record is from Rfam. Lineage: Bacteria; Bacillati; Cyanobacteriota; Cyanophyceae; Chroococcidiopsidales; Chroococcidiopsidaceae.
GUCAGCACCCCGCACUGAAGUGACGGGGCUUCAUGCCUCACCUUCAGUUAGCUGACCAGCCUAAGUCAAAACUUGACUACGUUUUUGGGGUCAUGACACCUACAAAUGCUUUCCAGUUUGUAGCUCUGUCGCUAGUCGUUAAACAGUUUUACGAGGGGUAAAGCAGUGUGGCUAGCCCAACAAGCCCUGAAAACAUUGGCGAGGAAAACAUUAC